UAACUGGUCUGAGAGGAUGAUCAGUCACACUGGAACUGAGACACGGUCCAGACUCCUACGGGAGGCAGCAGUGGGGAAUAUUGGACAAUGGGCGAAAGCCUGAUCCAGCCAUGCCGCGUGUGUGAAGAAGGUCUUCGGAUUGUAAAGCACUUUAAGUUGGGAAGAAGGGCAGUAAGUUAAUACCUUGCUGUUUUGACGUUACCAACAGAAUAAGCACCGGCUAACUUCGUGCCAGCAGCCGCGGUAAUACGAAGGGUGCAAGCGUUAAUCGGAAUUACUGGGCGUAAAGCGCGCGUAGGUGGUUCAGCAAGUUGGAUGUGAAAUC
Molecule: ribosomal RNA, 325 nt
Filed under: Pseudomonas aeruginosa
Lineage: Bacteria; Pseudomonadati; Pseudomonadota; Gammaproteobacteria; Pseudomonadales; Pseudomonadaceae
Description: bacterial SSU rRNA
Rfam family: Bacterial small subunit ribosomal RNA
Source: RNAcentral